Molecule: ribosomal RNA, 230 nt
Filed under: uncultured bacterium
Lineage: Bacteria
Description: partial 16S ribosomal RNA
Rfam family: Bacterial small subunit ribosomal RNA
Source: RNAcentral
UACGUAGGGACCAAGCGUUGUUCGGAUUUACUGGGCGUAAAGGGCGCGUAGGCGGCGCGGUAAGUCACUUGUGAAAUCUCUGAGCUUAACUCAGAACGGCCAAGUGAUACUGCAGUGCUAGAGUGUGGAAGGGCAUCGGAAUUCUUGGUGUAGCGGUGAAAUGCGUAGAUAUCAAGAGGAACACCUGAGGUGAAGACGGGUUGCUGGGCCGAACACUGACGCUGAUGACG